GUAACGGCUCACCAAGGCGACGAUACAUAGGGGGACUGAGAGGUCAACCCCCCACAUUGGUACUGAGACACGGACCAAACUCCUACGGGAGGCAGCAGUGAGGAAUAUUGGUCAAUGGACGCAAGUCUGAACCAGCCAUGCCGCGUGCAGGAAGACGGCUCUAUGAGUUGUAAACUGCUUUUGUACGAGGGUAAAUCCCGAUACGAGUAUCGGGUUGAAAGUAUCGUACGAAUAAGGAUCGGCUAACUCCGUGCCAGCAGCCGCGGUAAUACGGAGGAUUCAAGCGUUAUCCGGAUUUAUUGGGUUUAAAGGGUGCGUAGGCGGUUCGAUAAGUUAGAGGUGAAAUCCCGGGGCUCAACUCCGGCAUUGCCUCUGAUACUGUCGGGCUAGAGUUUAGUUGCGGUAGGCGGAAUGUAUGGUGUAGCGGUGAAAUGCAUAGAGAUCAUACAGAACACCGAUUGCGAAGGCAGCUUACCAAACUACGACUGACGUUGAGGCACGAAAGCGUGGGGAGCAAACAGGAUUAGAUACCCUGGUAGUCCACGCAGUAAACGAUGAUAACUGGUUGUCGGCGAUAUAAUGUCG
RNAcentral lists this ribosomal RNA (585 nucleotides) under uncultured bacterium. RNAcentral's name for it is "bacterial SSU rRNA". It matches the Rfam family "Bacterial small subunit ribosomal RNA", at positions 257 to 839 of the family's 1533-position model. The record is from RNAcentral.